UGGUAUGGAUAUGUUUUGAGAGGUAAGAUGUAUAGAACUUGCUAUUUUUGUACAUUCUGUAAUACAUUUAAUAUUUUGUCUAUUAAUUAGAAAUGGCUUGAACCUGAAAUGUUAUUUAUAAUUUCCUUUUCUUGAAUUGUUACUUAUCAAUAUUUAAAAACUUUUGCCCACUAUCUUUUCUCUUUUUUUGGAAAUCAAUGAAUUCCAACAUUUUUGGAGCUGUCUGUCUAGGCUUUGUUCGGUUAUAGAUACCCUGGUUGCAAGCUCAUAUAUGAGUAUUUGAAGACUGUUUCUUACGUGCAAUUAAGGUGUUCUCUUCUAUUUUUUUUCAGUAGUAACAAAAAUAAAAUGCUGCGUUAAACUGAGCAAAAUGGUCCAUUGUUUUAGUUAAAUUGAAUUGAGUUGAUGAUAAUAAAUGUGCUACAAUCAACUUGAAUAUACUGGGUCUGGGUCUAUAUUUCCUUUUACUUAUAUUUCCUGGUUUUCUUUGCUUGUCAAAACUAGAUUGUCAAUAGGAGAUGCCUUAAGCUUGGGUAAUCUGAGUGGACCUGCCUUUGGAUAGUUUUUAUUGCCUAAUUUCAUUGAUAAAAUGCAUUAUAUUAUGAUUGUUGUUGAUAUAAAAUGGCAUUAAAAACUAAUGUGCAUGCAUUGUCAGAGUUUUAAUUCUUAGUUGAAGUGGUUAUUUUUAGUAAUAUGCUUUCCUGCUUUUGCCUCUUCUGUUCAAAUACAUUUGGAAUGUUUGCCAAUUGAUUUGGCUGAUCAAUGUUCUUCAUGAAGAUGAUAAACAUCUAAAUAGUUCAUAGAUGAUUCUAAAUCAUAUCACUGCUCGGCAUUUCAUUUUGAGUUUUUGGUUUUAUAUUAGGGUUGCCCCUUACUGAAGGUAAAAGAUACAAUCCUCUGUGUAGUCAGAGAUAGAAAUUUCCUUGUAAGUGCCAUAUGUAAAACUUGAUGUGAAUUGUGACUCAAUCAAAGAAUGAAAAGUAUGUGGUUUUCUUUGUUGAUUUUGUUUACAGUCAUGUAAAUUUUCUUCAUGGAUAGGUGAUGUGAACAGCAUUAGCAU
Molecule: unclassified non-coding RNA, 1060 nt
Filed under: Hevea brasiliensis (rubber tree)
Lineage: Eukaryota; Viridiplantae; Streptophyta; Magnoliopsida; Malpighiales; Euphorbiaceae
Source: RNAcentral